Molecule: RNA transcript, 2014 nt
Organism: Diospyros lotus (date-plum)
Lineage: Eukaryota; Viridiplantae; Streptophyta; Magnoliopsida; Ericales; Ebenaceae
Exons: 10
Source: RefSeq, a predicted model, not a curated record
UGUAAAUUUCGAAGCUUGGACGAAACCGAGCCACAAAUCUAUUUCAGCGGGACAUGGCGAGAGAGAUGUGGGGAGGACUGCGCCUAGCCGCCAUUCCAGAGUUAUCGUUCGUCCCUGUUUGCCGGCGACAUAGCGCUGUUCCGGCGGCCGUGCGAUCUCGACGCCUGGGGAUUGACAAUGGCAGCAAGUACUGGGACAAGUUCUACAAACACCACCAAAAUAAGUUCUUCAAGGACCGCCAUUACUUGGAAAAGGACUGGGGACAAUACUUCCGCUGCGAUGAUGAGAAUACUACAUUACCGCACGGGAAGGUCGUUUUGGAGGUUGGUUGUGGAGCCGGAAAUACUAUUUUUCCCCUCGUUGCCAGAUAUCCUAAACUUUUUGUUCAUGCCUGUGACUUCUCGACCCAUGCUAUCAAACUUCUUACGUCACACGUGGAUUUCAAUGAAGAACAAGUAAAUGCAUUUGUUUGUGAUGUAGUGGAGGAUGAUCUUUGUGACAAAGUGAUGCCUUCUUCUGUUGAUGUUGCAACCUUGAUUUUUAUGUUGUCUGCAGUUUGUCCAAAAAAGAUGCAUAUGAUAUUGCAGAAUAUCAGGAAAGUAUUAAAGCCUGAGGGUUAUAUUCUCGUACGUGAUUAUGCAAUAGGAGAUUAUGCUCAAAUGGAGCUGCAAAAGAGGAAUCAAUUGAUCAGUGAGAACUUCUAUGUUAGAGGAGAUGGUACUUGUGCUUAUUUCUUCUCGGAAGAUUUUUUAUCAGCCUUGUUUGCAAGUGUUGGCUUCAGCAUCAUAAAUAUGGAGAUAUACAGCAGGAAAAUUCAGAAUCGAUCUCAGAACGUAACCAUGUCUAGAUGUCCAAUGGAUUAACACAAUUUGCAAAGCACGGAUAUAGACACGCAGUAUGAAUAUGACAUGACAUGGCAGGAACAUGCAGAUAUGUCAAUUUCCAAAAAAAUUGCAGAUGUCAAACAUGCCAUUCAGAAAACGAUCACAUCCCAUGAAAAAUGGUAAAACAAGCUGAAGCAAAAAGAAGAGGGAAAGAAGAAUUAAAGGGAUGGGAAAGAUGAAAAGAGAAGGAGGUUUUCAAUACUAUUUUGCUAUUUUAUUAUCACCUCUAGAAGAGGUUUCCAAAUUUGCAUUAGAAUGCAAAUGUGUUGAACAAAUGCCCUUUUUCAGGGCCAAUGUUUUCCUAGCAUAAAGAGAGCAUACCGUAUACAUGUACAAUUUAUGUCACACACUGUCCAUCUGCAUUAUCCAUAUGUUGUGUGGUACCUCUAAAUUGCCCUUGGUCAUAUGUUUGUGCUUCUUGAACAAUUUAAUUUUUUUGUUAAUUAAUUAUACAAGAAUAUAUUUUUAAUAGAAAACCUUAUUGUGCAUAGAUCUUUUUUGUUAUGCGUGUUCUUUUAGAAGAAUAAGAAACAACAAUGCCCACCAAGCCUUAAUCCCAAUAGGUGUGACAUUUAGAAGAAUAAAUAUAAACAUUUAGUGGGAUGGUUGGGAUUGCUACAUUUGUUGUUCAGUUGUUCUUUGAAAUGAAAGUAUUCCAUGUCAUAAAACUUGCAUAUCACAUUGUGAUUUGCUGUGAUAUGAGGUUUCUUGACGACACAUAUUUUAUAGUAAUUUAAUUUUACAGUUAUAAUCGUUAAAAGAAAAGUACAGCUAAAGAUAAUGUUGACUGCAACAACAAUAGACUAGUCAAAAGAUUACGCUUACUAGGUGGAGUUGAUUACAUGGACCCUAGGUUACCCAUCAUCUCUAUCUAUAUUAUAUCUAAGAGUUUCCUACUAAGUUUUUCUUGAUCUUCCUCAACUCAUUUUUGCCAAGAACUUCUUAUCAGUUUCUCUCAAGAUAGUUUUGAUGUUCUAAAAGAUAAAAAUUGGCAAACUCAGCCUCUCUGACAAUCUUAAAACUUGCAUCUGAUUCACGCCACUCAUUCUAUCAACUUUCUAUUCAUCAAAGCUGCUGCUUUUAAGGAUCUAACUUAUCUAUUUGAGUGCCAUUUGACCAUUAAUUAUUUU